GACGAACGCUGGCGGCGUGCUUAACACAUGCAAGUCGAACGGAAAGGCCCUGCUUGCAGUGUACUCGAGUGGCGAACGGGUGAGUAACACGUGGGUGAUCUGCCCUUCACUUCGGGAUAAGCCUGGGAAACUGGGUCUAAUACCCGAUAGGAGCCAUUUUUAGUGUGAUGGUUGUAAAGUUUUUUCGGUGUAGGAUGAGCUCGCGGCCUAUCAGCUUGUUGGUGGGGUAAUGGCCUACCAAGGCGGCGACGGGUAGCCGGCCUGAGAGGGUGGACGGCCACAUUGGGACUGAGAUACGGCCCAGACUCCUACGGGAGGCAGCAGUGGGGAAUAUUGCACAAUGGGCGCAAGCCUGAUGCAGAGACGCCGCGUGGGGGAUGACGGCCUUCGGGUUGUAAACUCCUUUCGCUAGGGACGAAGCUUUUUGUGACGGUACCGAGAUAAGAAGCACCGGCGAACUACGU
Molecule: ribosomal RNA, 464 nt
Filed under: uncultured bacterium
Lineage: Bacteria
Description: partial 16S ribosomal RNA
Rfam family: Bacterial small subunit ribosomal RNA
Source: RNAcentral